CCAGAUCUCAUUCAUUUCACCACUUAUUAGUGGUAGUAUAGCCUCGCCCUCGGCUUACAUUAAUUCUCUAGUUUGCACAAACACAGAGAAUAAAAGUCCUUCCUUUGAAUAGUUUGCAACAUUUCUCUGUUGCCAAGUACCAAUCUUCAUAAUAAAUGUUUUUAUCAAUAAUACUAGAACGGUAUCUUGAAAGAUAAUAUGAGACCUAAAGCUUGUACCAGGGAUCUCAUUUCAUUUUCAUAAAUAGAUUGCAAAAGUUUGCACACUUACAAUUUCCUUUCCAAUUCCUUCUACAACAAACCCAGCAUUACAUCCUUAUAUUGUCUUCUGUUUUGCCUUCAUUACAAUCUUAUACAACAUCCAGAAAAUCACAAGCAUGUCUUUUACGUUUUUUACUUCAUGAUUGUCAGCCGUGACAAUCGUUGAGAGACAAACGAAAAUGAUGCAACUCAGAAUGCACAGUAUGGGAAGGAAGAUUCCUCAAUGGCGUGUGUUUGGAAAACAAAAUGUUACUGCAAAAUGCGAUCAAAUUAGUCAACGACUAGAUUCCUACUAUUCAAAACUGAUGGCACCAUGUUGAAGCUAAGAAAUUUCCGCAAAUCGAAACAACGAUCAAAUUAGUCAACGACUAGAUUCCUAGUAUUCAAAACUGAUGGCACCAUGUUGAAGCUAAGAAAUUUCCUCAAAUCGAAACAACUCGUCAUGGAGGCAAUUUGUGGGAAUCAAAAUACUCAGCAAGGAAGUCGGAAAUUCCAACUGCUCAUGUUGUCUGUCUGUACAUAAACAUACUGGAACACGUCACAUGUCGGACACAGACCAUAGAUAUGCUUCCCUUUCGGUUGCUUGUUUCUCAUUGGUCCUCUUGAACAACUGCUUCUCAU
Molecule: long non-coding RNA, 881 nt
Filed under: Nicotiana benthamiana
Lineage: Eukaryota; Viridiplantae; Streptophyta; Magnoliopsida; Solanales; Solanaceae
Description: long non-coding RNA (NBEN_LNC032330)
Source: RNAcentral